Non-coding RNA from Galeopterus variegatus (Sunda flying lemur), 74 nucleotides. The record is from the annotation of a RefSeq genome assembly. Lineage: Eukaryota; Metazoa; Chordata; Mammalia; Dermoptera; Cynocephalidae.
GGCUGGUUAGCUUAGUAGGUUAGAGCAUGGGGCUUAUAACACCAAGGUCCAGGGUUCGAUCCCUGAACCAGUCA